AGAGUUUGAUCAUGGCUCAGAUUGAACGCUGGCGGCAGGCCUAACACAUGCAAGUCGAGCGGGGGUAGCAAUACCCUAGCGGCGAACGGGUGAGGAAUGCUUGGGAAUCUGCCUGGUAUGGGGGAUAACGUUCCGAAAGGAACGCUAAUACCGCAUACGUCCUACGGGAGAAAGGGGGGGGAUCUUCGGACCUCUCGCUAUCAGAUGAGCCCAAGCGGGAUUAGCUAGUUGGUGAGGUAAAGGCUCACCAAGGCGACGAUCCCUAGCUGGUCUGAGAGGAUGAUCAGCCACACUGGAACUGAGACACGGUCCAGACUCCUACGGGAGGCAGCAGUGGGGAAUAUUGGACAAUGGGCGAAAGCCUGAUCCAGCCAUGCCGCGUGUGUGAAGAAGGCCUUCGGGUUGUAAAGCACUUUAAGCGGGGAGGAAGGGCUUACGGUUAAUACCUGUGAGCAUUGACGUUACCCGCAGAAUAAGCACCGGCUAACUCUGUG
This 494-nucleotide ribosomal RNA is filed under the name uncultured bacterium. Its description in RNAcentral is "bacterial SSU rRNA". It matches the Rfam family "Bacterial small subunit ribosomal RNA", at positions 8 to 507 of the family's 1533-position model. The record is from RNAcentral.